Molecule: ribosomal RNA, 468 nt
Filed under: uncultured bacterium
Lineage: Bacteria
Description: partial 16S ribosomal RNA
Rfam family: Bacterial small subunit ribosomal RNA
Source: RNAcentral
GACGAACGCUGGCGGCGUGCUUAACACAUGCAAGUCGAACGGAAAGGCCCUGCUUUUGUGGGGUGCUCGAGUGGCGAACGGGUGAGUAACACGUGAGUAACCUGCCCUUGACUUUGGGAUAACUUCAGGAAACUGGGGCUAAUACCGGAUAGGAGCUCCUGCUGCAUGGUGGGGGUUGGAAAGUUUCGGCGGUUGGGGAUGGACUCGCGGCUUAUCAGCUUGUUGGUGGGGUAGUGGCUUACCAAGGCUUUGACGGGUAGCCGGCCUGAGAGGGUGACCGGCCACAUUGGGACUGAGAUACGGCCCAGACUCCUACGGGAGGCAGCAGUGGGGAAUAUCGCACAAUGGGCGGAAACCUGAUGCAGCAACGCCGCGUGCGGGAUGACGGCCUUCGGGUUGUAAACCGCUUUCGCCUGUGACGAAGCGUGAGUGACGGUAAUGGGUAAAGAAGCACCGGCUAACUACGUG